GCGUCGGUGGUUCAGUGGUAGAAUACUCGCCUGCCACGCGGGUGGCCCGGGACGAUUCCCGGCUGACGCA
RNAcentral lists this transfer RNA (70 nucleotides) under Dermacentor silvarum. RNAcentral's name for it is "transfer RNA glycine (anticodon GCC)". It matches the Rfam family "tRNA". From Rfam's summary of the family: Transfer RNA (tRNA) molecules are approximately 80 nucleotides in length. Their secondary structure includes four short double-helical elements and three loops (D, anti-codon, and T loops). Further hydrogen bonds mediate the characteristic L-shaped molecular structure. tRNAs have two regions of fundamental functional importance: the anti-codon, which is responsible for specific mRNA codon recognition, and the 3' end, to which the tRNAs corresponding amino acid is attached (by aminoacyl-tRNA synthetases). tRNAs cope with the degeneracy of the genetic code in two manners: having more than one tRNA (with a specific anti-codon) for a particular amino acid; and 'wobble' base-pairing, i.e. permitting non-standard base-pairing at the 3rd anti-codon position. The record is from RNAcentral. Lineage: Eukaryota; Metazoa; Arthropoda; Arachnida; Ixodida; Ixodidae.